CUUCCCAUUUACUUGCUGCUCUAGUCUCUCAGUGGCAGGAGCAGUUAUACGCAUGGGAUGAAAUAAUAUCGGGCAAUUGUAAAUUGCGAUGAGGUGUAUUUUCUCUCUUCUGCAUGGUCUAGACAUUG
Small nucleolar RNA from Alexandromys fortis (reed vole), 128 nucleotides. RefSeq annotates it as small nucleolar RNA SNORA20. The transcript has a single exon. The record is from RefSeq and is a predicted model, not a curated record. NCBI's taxonomy places the organism in Eukaryota, Metazoa, Chordata, Mammalia, Rodentia, Cricetidae.